CGCAUAUUGCGCCCUUUGGUAUUCCGAGGGGCAUGCCUGUUCGAGCGUCAUUUACAUCCUCAAGCAAUGCUUGGUAUUGGGAGUCACCCCGGUGGGGUGUCCUCGAAACUUAGAGGCGACGUAGCCGGACUUCCUGGCGUAGUGAUUUACACCGCCCUGGAGUUGUCGGUCGUGCGUUUGCCAGACAACGCCCAAAUAUCUGAAUUGACCUCGGAUCAGGCAGGACUACCCGCUGAACUUAA
This 242-nucleotide unclassified non-coding RNA is filed under the name Cryptodiscus cladoniicola. RNAcentral describes it as "partial contains 5.8S ribosomal RNA, internal transcribed spacer 2, and large subunit ribosomal RNA". Lineage: Eukaryota; Fungi; Ascomycota; Lecanoromycetes; Ostropales; Stictidaceae. The record is from RNAcentral.